UGGGGAAUUUUGGACAAUGGGGGAAACCCUGAUCCAGCCAUCCCGCGUGUGCGAUGAAGGCCUUCGGGUUGUAAAGCACUUUUGGCAGGAAAGAAACGUCAUGGGUUAAUACCCCGUGAAACUGACGGUACCUGCAGAAUAAGCACCGGCUAACUACGUGCCAGCAGCCGCGGUAAUACGUAGGGUGCAAGCGUUAAUCGGAAUUACUGGGCGUAAAGCGUGCGCAGGCGGUUCGGAAAGAAAGAUGUGAAAUCCCAGAGCUCAACUUUGGAACUGCACUUUUAACUACCGGGCUAGAGUGUGUCAGAGGGAGGUGGAAUUCCGCGUGUAGCAGUGAAAUGCGUAGAUAUGCGGAGGAACACCGAUGGCGAAGGCAGCCUCCUGGGAUAACACUGACGCUCAUGCACGAAAGCGUGGGGAGCAAACAGG
RNAcentral lists this ribosomal RNA (429 nucleotides) under Acidobacteriota bacterium. RNAcentral's name for it is "Acidobacteria bacterium partial 16S ribosomal RNA". It matches the Rfam family "Bacterial small subunit ribosomal RNA", at positions 355 to 776 of the family's 1533-position model. Lineage: Bacteria; Pseudomonadati; Acidobacteriota. The record is from RNAcentral.